AACCAACCGGGAUUGCCUUAGUAACGGCGAGUGAAGCGGCAAAAGCUCAAAUUUGAAAUCUGGUACCUUCGGUGCCCGAGUUGUAAUUUGGAGAGGGCAACUUUGGGGCCGUUCCUUGUCUAUGUUCCUUGGAACAGGACGUCAUAGAGGGUGAGAAUCCCGUGUGGCGAGGAGUGCGGUUCUUUGUAAAGUGCCUUCGAAGAGUCGAGUUGUUUGGGAAUGCAGCUCUAAGUGGGUGGUAAAUUCCAUCUAAAGCUAAAUAUUGGCGAGAGACCGAUAGCGAACAAGUACAGUGAUGGAAAGAUGAAAAGAACUUUGAAAAGAGAGUGAAAAAGUACGUGAAAUUGUUGAAAGGGAAGGGCAUUUGAUCAGACAUGGUGUUUUGUGCCCUCUGCUCCUUGUGGGUAGGGGAAUCUCGCAUUUCACUGGGCCAGCAUCAGUUUUGGUGGCAGGAUAAAUCCAUAGGAAUGUAGCUUGCCUCGGUAAGUAUUAUAGCCUGUGGGAAUACUGCCAGCUGGGACUGAGGACUGCGACGUAAGUCAAGGAUGCUGGCAUAAUGGUUAUAUGCCGCCCGUCUUGAAACACGGACCUCCUGUGUGAGG
RNAcentral lists this ribosomal RNA (602 nucleotides) under Saccharomyces cerevisiae (brewer's yeast). RNAcentral's name for it is "eukaryotic LSU rRNA". It matches the Rfam family "Eukaryotic large subunit ribosomal RNA", at positions 63 to 664 of the family's 3401-position model. Lineage: Eukaryota; Fungi; Ascomycota; Saccharomycetes; Saccharomycetales; Saccharomycetaceae. The record is from RNAcentral.